This 73-nucleotide transfer RNA is filed under the name Cordylochernes scorpioides. RNAcentral's name for it is "tRNA-Thr". It matches the Rfam family "tRNA". From Rfam's summary of the family: Transfer RNA (tRNA) molecules are approximately 80 nucleotides in length. Their secondary structure includes four short double-helical elements and three loops (D, anti-codon, and T loops). Lineage: Eukaryota; Metazoa; Arthropoda; Arachnida; Pseudoscorpiones; Chernetidae. The record is from RNAcentral.
UCCAGGGUAGCUUAGUGGACAUGGCAUCUGUCCAGUAAGUGGAACACUGUGGGUUCGAUUCCCAUCCCUGGAC